Molecule: long non-coding RNA, 208 nt
Organism: Fukomys damarensis (Damara mole-rat)
Lineage: Eukaryota; Metazoa; Chordata; Mammalia; Rodentia; Bathyergidae
Exons: 3
Source: RefSeq, a predicted model, not a curated record
AUUCAAAGAAUGAAGAACACACGAGAAAUUGUCUUGCUUGUCUCUCCUGGUAACCUAACCUAUAUCAUUUUCAGCCUAAAAUUCACCAGCAGAAAGGUUAUAGUUUCCAAAGAGAGAUAAAGCAAGCAGCAAGUGUAGGGCAAGUACUGUAGCCUAUCAAACCAAGAGUUAUCAACUGGUCUUUAAAAAGAUCACAACUGCUGCCGCC